CCCAGACUCCUACGGGAGGCAGCAGUGGGGAAUAUUGCACAAUGGGGGGAACCCUGAUGCAGCGACGCCGCGUGAGUGAAGAAGUCUUUCGGUAUGUAAAGCUCUCUCAGCAGGGAAGAAAAUGACGGUACCUGACUAAGAAGCCCCGGCUAACUACGUGCCAGCAGCCGCGGUAAUACGUAGGGGGCAAGCGUUAUCCGGAUUUACUGGGUGUAAAGGGAGCGUAGACGGCAGAGCAAGUCUGAAGUGAAAGCCCGCGGCCCAACUGCGGGACUGCUUUGGAAACUGGCAGGCUGGAGUGUCGGAGAGGCAGGCGGAAUUCCUAGUGUAGCGGUGAAAUGCGUAGAUAUUAGGAGGAACACCAGUGGCGAAGGCGGCUUACUGGACGGCAACUGACGCUGAGGCUCGAAAGCGUGGGGAGCAAACAGGAUUAGAUACCCUUGUA
RNAcentral lists this ribosomal RNA (445 nucleotides) under uncultured bacterium. RNAcentral describes it as "partial 16S ribosomal RNA". It matches the Rfam family "Bacterial small subunit ribosomal RNA", at positions 330 to 792 of the family's 1533-position model. The record is from RNAcentral.